CACAGAGAUAGGACUGAUUUAAAAUUUCACAAAGCUUGAUUUAUUUUGAUCCAAGUUCUAUGAUCCUUUUCUAAAAUUAUUGCUGUAUUUUGUCCAAAUAUUCUGUAGUUUAAAAUGUUUGAAUUUGGCAGUUUAGCAACAGCACAUGCAUGAUCUCCAUUUGUAACUUAAUAGGUGAUACUUUUUUAAACAUUAUUUAUUAUUCACCUUGAAUUAAUGUACCCAUUUUGACACAAAAUCCUACAUGUACCACUUAAAAAGAUCAUUGCUUUAUUCCCCCACUGUAGUUUCAGGGUCAGUAUGUUCAGAUUUAAAUGCAAGAAAGUAGGAUUCUUAGGUUCCACUAGGUUUAUUUUAAUCUGAUUUUAGGAAGCUAAUUACUUAAUAAUUAUUAUCUUUGAAAGUUCCCACACCCCCAGCCAUCUGGCUACAUUCAUAAUUAAGUCUUUAAACUGCAAUUUGUUUUUGUUUUGCUUAGGACCUUGCUAAAUUGCUGAGGCUGGCUUUGAACUUGCAGUCCUCCUGUCUCAGCCUCCUUAAUAUGCAAAAUGAUGUUAAGUGGCAUGAGCACAAAAAAAUAGUUGAUCUCAACCAUUUACUUAUUGUACAAUAAGAUGGCAAAAGCUAAGCAAUGAUUAAAUAAUAGCAAUCUAGGAUUUAAUUUUUAUAUUUAAGAACAAUUUAGGACUCAAAUUACAGAAUGGGCCUGUUAAUAAACCAUUUAAAUUUGGUUGGAUUUAACAGCAAAAAUGUUGAAGAGUCAGCCUUGC
RNAcentral lists this long non-coding RNA (770 nucleotides) under Marmota monax (woodchuck). Lineage: Eukaryota; Metazoa; Chordata; Mammalia; Rodentia; Sciuridae. The record is from RNAcentral.